This 301-nucleotide ribosomal RNA is filed under the name uncultured bacterium. RNAcentral's name for it is "partial 16S ribosomal RNA". It matches the Rfam family "Bacterial small subunit ribosomal RNA", at positions 509 to 807 of the family's 1533-position model. The record is from RNAcentral.
CAGCAGCCGCGGGAAUACGUAGGGUGCGAGCGUUAAUCGGAAUUACUGGGCGUAAAGCGUGCGCAGGCGGUUGUGUAAGACAGGUGUGAAAUCCCCGGGCUUAACCUGGGAACUGCGCUUGUGACUGCACAGCUAGAGUAUGGCAGAGGGGGGUGGAAUUCCACGUGUAGCAGUGAAAUGCGUAGAGGUGUGGAGGAACACCGAUGGCGAAGGCAGCCCCCUGGGCCAAUACUGACGCUCAUGCACGAAAGCGUGGGGAGCAAACAGGAUUAGAUACCCGAGUAGUCCCUGUCUCUUAUAC